AUAUCAGUCAUGCAUAGCAUAUCAAUAAGCGGAGGAAAAGAAACUAACAAGGAUUCCCUUAGUAACGGCGAGUGAAGCGGGAAGAGCUCAAAUUUGAAAUCUUCAAGGUUCUACCUUGACGAAUUGUAGUUUAUAGAAGUGUUUUCUGUUAGUAGGAGUGGCAAAAGUUCUUUGGAAUAGGACAUCAUAGAGGGUGAGAAUCCCGUAUUUGGUCAUUCCUUCUAGCGUUGUGAUACACUUUCAACGAGUCGGAUUGUUUGGGAAUGCAGUCCUAAAAUGGGUGGUAAAUUUCAUCUAAAGCUAAAUAUUGGCGAGAGACCGAUAGCGAACAAGUACCGUGAGGGAAAGAUGAAAAGAACUUUGAAAAGAGAGUUAAACAGUACGUGAAAUUGUCAAAAGGGAAGCGUUUGACACCAGUGUUGUUUUUCCGAAAAUCAAUUACGAAUGUUUUAGUUUUUAAGAAGUUAUGACUUCAUCGGCUUGCUUCUCUCUUUAUGAAACUUUCUUAAUGCACUUUUCGGUUAACAGGUCAACAUCAAUUUCUUUUGUUGUAAAAGGGUAUGAGGAAGGUGGCUUUCUUUUCGGAGAAAGUGUUUAUAGCCUUGUGCCUCUGCAAUCGGAGAGAUUGAGGUCUGCAGCGUAGAUCCUUCGGGGUUAGAUACAUUUGUGCUAAGUUAUAGCUUUUCAUAGACAACUUGUUGACUAUGUUUAGUCUUGUAGCUUACUCGCUUAUGCUAUUUUACCUACGCUUAGGAUGUUGAUCUCUCACAGUCGAGC
RNAcentral lists this ribosomal RNA (777 nucleotides) under uncultured Neocallimastigales. RNAcentral's name for it is "partial large subunit ribosomal RNA". It matches the Rfam family "Eukaryotic large subunit ribosomal RNA", at positions 22 to 645 of the family's 3401-position model. Lineage: Eukaryota; Fungi; Neocallimastigomycota; Neocallimastigomycetes; Neocallimastigales. The record is from RNAcentral.